Molecule: long non-coding RNA, 1569 nt
Organism: Malaya genurostris
Lineage: Eukaryota; Metazoa; Arthropoda; Insecta; Diptera; Culicidae
Exons: 2
Source: RefSeq, a predicted model, not a curated record
GAAUCAAUCUACGAACUUCACAAAAUUCGACGGUGUAAAAUUUAUUGAGAUUCGUUGAAAAACAGCUGAGCUAUGUCAGCUUGAAGUUACCGUUCCAACUUGCUUUUCAGGCUUGGUAUUUGGAGUGUUAAAGUGAAAAAUCUAUUCGAAAUCCACCAAAUAGGUCAAGUAUAUUUCGACUUGACAUCGUAUUGCUGAUGGGUAUUUAUUACCUUCUAAUAUUGAUUGUAAUUAAACCAAUUUUCGCCAACUUGUUGAUUUGUCUUUUCUGAAUUACAUAUAAAUUCCUUUUUUAUGUCAUUCUUAAAUAACUCCACGAUUGAUACAACAAAUUACGCCUCUAAGUAAUAGUUACUGAUACCUCUAUAUUGCCUUUUCCUGACAUAAGCAUAAUCAUAAUAAAUCAAACUAUGGAAUCAUAAUAAAUCAAAUCAUCAUUGUGCCUUUAUGGAUGGAUUGAAGCAGGGUGAUGCACUAUCUAAUGUGUUAUUUUCUAUAGCACUGAAACUUGCGCAAUGAAGAUUUGACACUCAGAGAAACGAAACCAUCUUCAAUUGGUCACACAAAUCCAACAUCUUCGAGACAUGGUCGUUGAAGAUUGAUGCAGAUUUUCAACUAGUAGGCGACGCAGACAUAUGAUUUAUGAAAACUAUGCCAAGUAUAUAAACACUAGCGGAUCGAUAAAAUACAGUAAAUCAUGGUAGGCUGGGCAUGUAACAAAAAUGUCAAAAAAGAACCAAGGUGUGAAUCCGAGAAGGUUUCGCGUGCAACGUGAGAAUUUAGAGGGAGUGGAAUAAGGUGACUCAAGAUCGAGUAUUGUGAAAUUUUACCAUUCAAUUGCUCCGGAGACGGAAUGUGGCCUAUCAAACUAAGUAAAUGGAACAGGAAACUAAUUAAGCUUGGCCGAAACUCAAGACAACUUGGGUCGAUCUGGAAUUGACAAGUGAAACGAAUACAUUUGAAUGAGCAACAAUAUUAAGCUUGCUCACAUCACAUCUCAAUUUAAGUAAUAUCCAAGAAUAUUCCAUUUAGGCGAGAAAAAUCUAUAUCGAAAGCGUGUUUAAUUUAUUCGUAACCAUAAUCGAUCGUGUUAUCAACGAAACACAAAGAACCAAAUCAAUUUGAGCCCCUGUUUAGGAACGAUUGGACAUUUUGAAUCACCGUAAAAUGAAACCAAUUCGGGUAGAACCUCAGCCAACUAUUUAAACCGCGCGAGUCUUUAGCUGAAUCCAACUAGAAAAAUCCGAAGGAUCUUUUCAUAAUGAAGACAUCAAUCUUUCUCAUCUGUGCCGCACUGGUGUUGUGUGUGGUUUCCGCCAAUGCACAAGCUUGGCGAUUCUCACCGGGCUUUUGGAGAAGAGUUCCAAGACUCAGAGACCAGAGAUCAGUUCACGAGUUCAUGAGGACGUUACACAAGAGACAGGGCCCACCACAAACUCCGCCACCGUGGAGCUCUGACUUCGAUCCGCAACCAUCCUUUUUUUGAAGCUCUGUAAAUGAUUAAACAAAUACAUGAACUUGUUGCGUUGAAUAAAUCUACGGAAUUCGUGGAUACGAACUUCGACAAAA